AGUGGCGGACGGGUGAGUAACGCGUGGGCAACCUGCCCUGUACCGGGGGAUAACAGCCGGAAACGGCUGCUAAUACCGCAUAAGCGCACGAGAGCGCAUGCUUUUGUGUGAAAAACUCCGGUGGUACGGGAUGGGCCCGCGUCUGAUUAGCUUGUUGGCGGGGUAGAAGCCCACCAAGGCGACGAUCAGUAGCCGACCUGAGAGGGUGACCGGCCACAUUGGGACUGAGACACGGCCCAAACUCCUACGGAAGGCAGCAG
Molecule: ribosomal RNA, 260 nt
Filed under: uncultured bacterium
Lineage: Bacteria
Description: partial 16S ribosomal RNA
Rfam family: Bacterial small subunit ribosomal RNA
Source: RNAcentral